This 252-nucleotide ribosomal RNA is filed under the name uncultured bacterium. RNAcentral's name for it is "partial 16S ribosomal RNA". It matches the Rfam family "Bacterial small subunit ribosomal RNA", at positions 524 to 776 of the family's 1533-position model. The record is from RNAcentral.
UACGGGGGGGCAAGCGUUGUUCGGAAUUACUGGGCGUAAAGGGCUCGUAGGCGGCCAACUAAGUCAGACGUGAAAUCCCUCGGCUUAACCGGGGAACUGCGUCUGAUACUGGAUGGCUUGAGUUCGGGAGAGGGAUGUGGAAUUCCAGGUGUAGCGGUGAAAUGCGUAGAUAUCUGGAGGAACACCGGUGGCGAAGGCGGCAUCCUGGACCGACACUGACGCUGAUGAGCGAAAGCCAGGGGAGCAAACGGG